AUUGAACGCUAGCGGCAUGCUUAACACAUGCAAGUCGUACGGCAGCACAGUGUGUAGUAAUACACAUGGGUGGCGAGUGGCGGACGGGUGAGUAACGCGUAGGAAUCUACCUCAUAGUGGGGGAUAACCCGGGGAAACUCGGGCUAAUACCGCAUAAUCUUUACGAAGCAAAGAUGGCCUCUAUUUAUAAGCUAUCGCUGUGAGAUGAGCCUGCGUUGGAUUAGCUAGUUGGUGGGGUAAAGGCCUAACAAGGCAACGAUCCAUAGCUGGUCUGAGAGGAGGAUCAGCCACACUGGGACUGAGACACGGCCCAGACUCCUACGGGAGGCAGCAGUGGGGAAUAUUGGACAAUGGGCGCAAGCCUGAUCCAGCAAUGCCGCGUGUGUGAAGAAGGCCUUCGGGUUGUAAAGCACUUUUAGUGGGGAGGAGGCUACUUUAGUUAAUACCUAGAGAUAGUGGACGUUACUCGCAGAAUAAGCACCGGCUAACUCUGUGCCAGCCGCCGCAGUAA
Molecule: ribosomal RNA, 511 nt
Filed under: uncultured bacterium
Lineage: Bacteria
Description: partial 16S ribosomal RNA
Rfam family: Bacterial small subunit ribosomal RNA
Source: RNAcentral